Non-coding RNA from Coprococcus eutactus CAG:665, 82 nucleotides. NCBI's taxonomy places the organism in Bacteria, Bacillati, Bacillota, Clostridia, Lachnospirales, Lachnospiraceae. The record is from Rfam.
UGAUAGCUAUGAAGCGGAGGUUGCUGCGUACAUAUCGCAGGUUUUUCGUGGAGCGAAUGUCAAUUUACAAAACUGGCGACAA